Non-coding RNA from Aspergillus leporis, 84 nucleotides. The record is from the annotation of a GenBank genome assembly. Lineage: Eukaryota; Fungi; Ascomycota; Eurotiomycetes; Eurotiales; Aspergillaceae.
GCCGGGCUAGCUCAAUCGGUAGAGCGUGAGACUCUUAGUCCUCACGGUAUCUCAAGGUUGCGGGUUCGACCCCCGCGUUCGGCU